Molecule: ribosomal RNA, 684 nt
Filed under: Coilochilus neocaledonicum
Lineage: Eukaryota; Viridiplantae; Streptophyta; Magnoliopsida; Asparagales; Orchidaceae
Description: eukaryotic LSU rRNA
Source: RNAcentral
CAUUGUCGAGGCCCCCRAGAGAYCGAGCGAUUCCGGCGRCCCGUGARCUCUACGAGCACGGUGCCGGCGUUACACCCCUCCCUCUGCCGCCUCCCCUCGCSGGGAGCCGCGGCACSGGGCUGGAUGGAAAACAAUAUCGGCGCAGCGCCGCGCCAAGGUACAUGUGCGAUGCGGGCAUCUCCGGCGCCUCCUCGGAGCCCGACGGGCCKGGUGGRGUGCCGCCGCUGCUCCUCAUGGAAUGUAGGACUCUCGGCAAUGGAUAUCUUGGCUCUUGCAUCGAUGAAGAGCGCAGCGAAAUGCGAUACGUGGUGCGAAUUGCAGAAUCCCGUGAACCAUCGAGUUUUUGAACGCAAGUUGCGCCUGAGGCCAACCGGCCGAGGGCACGUCCGCCUGGGCGUCAUGCAUUACGUCGCUCCGCCCCGCGCCCCCAUCGAAGACGGUGCGGCGGUGCYGGGCCGGAUGCGGAGAGUGGCCCGUCGCGCGCUCACCCGCGCGGCGGGCUGAAGAGCGGGACGCCUCCCUCUUUGAUAUUGGCCGAUAAGGGGUGGAUGCACAGCUGCCGGUUCSGCGCACAUUAUCGCUGUCGUGCCAUUGCGUGGAGGGAGGCGGGAUAACAGCCUAGGCCGAACCUCGCCCUCGCGCGGCAGGUUGCGCCUYGAAAUGCGACCCCAGGAUGGGCGGGAU